This 823-nucleotide ribosomal RNA is filed under the name uncultured Bacillota bacterium. RNAcentral describes it as "bacterial SSU rRNA". It matches the Rfam family "Bacterial small subunit ribosomal RNA", at positions 63 to 865 of the family's 1533-position model. The record is from RNAcentral. Lineage: Bacteria; Bacillati; Bacillota.
CGAACGCGGUUUCCUCGCAAGGGGAAACUGAGUGGCGAACGGGUGAGUAACGCGUGGGUGACCUACCUUCGAGUGGGGGAUAACGUCCCGAAAGGGACGCUAAUACCGCAUGAAAUCCUGCCCUUGAACGGGUGGAGAUCAAAGCUGGGGAUCGCAAGACCCGGCGCUUGAAGAGGGGCCCGCGUCCGAUUAGCUAGUUGGUGAGGUAACGGCUCACCAAGGCGACGAUCGGUAUCCGGCCUGAGAGGGCGGACGGACACACUGGGACUGAGACACGGCCCAGACUCCUACGGGAGGCAGCAGUGGGGAGUUGUUCACAAUGGGCGCAAGCCUGAUGACGCAAUGCCGCGUGGAGGAUGAAGGUCUUCGGAUUGUAAACUCCUGUUGCCAGGAACGAAUGGCUCCGACCUAAUACGUCGGAAGAAUGACGGUACCUGGUGAGGAAGCCCCGGCUAACUCUGUGCCAGCAGCCGCGGUAAUACAGAGGGGGCAAGCGUUGUUCGGAAUUACUGGGCGUAAAGGGCGCGUAGGCGGCCCGCUAAGUCGAACGUGAAAUCCCCAGGCUCAACCUGGGAACUGCGUCCGAUACUGGCAGGGCUUGAAUCCGGGAGAGGGAUGUGGAAUUCCAGGUGUAGCGGUGAAAUGCGUAGAUAUCUGGAGGAACACCGGUGGCGAAGGCGGCAUCCUGGACCGGUAUUGACGCUGAGGCGCGAAAGCUAGGGGAGCAAACGGGAUUAGAUACCCGGUUAGUCCUAGCCCUAAACGAUAAAUGCUUGGUGUGGCGGGUAUCGAUCCCUGCCGUGCCGAAACUAACGCAUUAAGC